CUCAGACAUACAAUGGUGCAAUGUUAUGAUAAAGGAUCCUCCUAUCAAAAUACUGGGUCAUAACUGCAAAAGCGACUCUAGAGGCUGUCAGGAAGACAGCCACUAGAAGCAUGUUAACCCUGCAUAGAAACAGCCAUUCCUGCAAAAUGGCAGGGUUAAAAGACAGGGGCGUGGACCCAGACCACGUCUUUGAGAGGAAGUGGUCUUGGUGCACAGUGUAAAGUGUGUUUUCAGUUUGCAUUGUUUUGGUGUAAAAUGUUAAAUUGCUGACUGUUUACACUGUAGGGAACAGCCCUGUAUGAGUGUGAUUUGAAAAAGGCAUAAAGUUGUGUUAGAAAAAGCAGAAAUCCAG
Pelobates cultripes (western spadefoot toad) is the source of this 352-nucleotide non-coding RNA. Lineage: Eukaryota; Metazoa; Chordata; Amphibia; Anura; Pelobatidae. The record is from the annotation of a GenBank genome assembly.